RNAcentral lists this ribosomal RNA (449 nucleotides) under uncultured prokaryote. RNAcentral's name for it is "bacterial SSU rRNA". It matches the Rfam family "Bacterial small subunit ribosomal RNA", at positions 355 to 796 of the family's 1533-position model. The record is from RNAcentral.
UGGGGAAUUUUGCGCAAUGGGCGAAAGCCUGACACAGCGACGCCGCGUGUGCGAUGAAGGCCCUUGGGUCGUAAAGCACUGUCAACAGGGACGAAACCGUCCGUAUUAAUACCACGGACGUUUGACGGUACCUGUAAAGGAAGCACCGGCUAACUCUGUGCCAGCAGCCGCGGUAAUACAGAGGGUGCAAACGUUGUUCGGAAUUACUGGGCGUAAAGCGCGUGUAGGCGGUCCGUUAAGUCGACUGUGAAAGCCCAUGGCUCAACCAUGGAAGUGCAGUCGAUACUGGCAGACUGGAGUCCCGGAGAGGGUGGUGGAAUUCCUAGUGUAGAGGUGAAAUUCGUAGAUAUUAGGAGGAACACCGGUGGCGAAGGCGACCACCUGGACGGGUACUGACGCUGAGACGCGAAAGCGUGGGGAGCAAACAGGAUUAGAUACCCCCGUAGUCC